This 74-nucleotide transfer RNA is filed under the name Capsicum annuum. It matches the Rfam family "tRNA". Rfam says of the family: Transfer RNA (tRNA) molecules are approximately 80 nucleotides in length. Their secondary structure includes four short double-helical elements and three loops (D, anti-codon, and T loops). Lineage: Eukaryota; Viridiplantae; Streptophyta; Magnoliopsida; Solanales; Solanaceae. The record is from Rfam by way of RNAcentral.
AGGAUUGUAGUUCAAUCGGUCAGAGCACCGCCCUGUCAAGACGGAAGCUGCGGGUUCGAGCCCCAUCAAUCUCA